UCUUGAAAUUUGCCAUAUUUAUCCUUAUACUUAGUCCUUGUCAGAGUGAUCUGACUAUGACACCAGAGGCUCUAUGAAAUAGGUAUGUUGGACCUGGGGGCAGUACCCAGCACCUCCACCAUUUAUGAUAACAUCUGUGGGGGUGACAUAGGAUUGACAAUAUAUAGUAAAGAUAGGUAAGCUGUGUUCGGCAAGAUACCACCGUUAUCGGUUCAAAUUUAAAUGAAUGCUAACGAUAAUAACGUAGCUCCUGUUGCAUUGGCUGCUUAGUUGUAGUCGCAACAAAUCAAAAUCCUUACAGCCAUGGAUAGCUGUAAGUGGGGUCUGAGCCACCUAUCAACAGAACGGCU
Molecule: transfer-messenger RNA, 350 nt
Filed under: human gut metagenome
Description: Alphaproteobacteria transfer-messenger RNA
Rfam family: Alphaproteobacteria transfer-messenger RNA
About the family: Bacterial tmRNA, also known as 10Sa RNA or SsrA, is named for its dual tRNA and mRNA-like properties.
Source: RNAcentral